CUUAAAAUCCUUUACUAACUCUUAGGUAGAAAUAAUUUUACAAAAUAGCCAUGAAGGUUCUUGUAUUAGGUUCAUGGCUUUGCCUCAUUAUAUUCUUGCAAACUUUGCCAUACUCCACUUGCAAAUUCACCCCAAAAUCCACAAAUCAUGAACUUAUCUUCCCUAAUGAAAACAAAGAAAAGAACCAGUGACGAAGCCACAUGAUCACCCUUCGUCGAAAAAUUGUACUAUGCAUACAGGCAAAAUAUUACGUUUUAGAGUUGCAAAUAAUGAAUGUAUGGAUGUGCAUAAAGUUGUUCAUCAGAGAAGAGGAGUAUAUGGUGGAGCAGACCUUCUUCGCAAAGGACCUAAAAAGAAUGAAGCCAAUUACAUAUUUGAAAGGCCAAUUUUAGUGUCUUCUUUCUUCUUGUUUCUUUUUGUUGCCUUCACUCUCUAAGUUUUGCUAUAGUUAUGAUAGUUGGAAAAGAUUGGUUUCUCUCUUUUGCCCCUUUUAGAUAUAUUCUCAUUUUUUUU
RNA transcript from Nicotiana attenuata, 513 nucleotides. RefSeq lists it as uncharacterized. The transcript has 3 exons. The record is from RefSeq and is a predicted model, not a curated record. Lineage: Eukaryota; Viridiplantae; Streptophyta; Magnoliopsida; Solanales; Solanaceae.